GAGACUUUCUGUUCGAGAGGAAAAUGCCAGGCGGAGAGGAAAAAAGAAAAAGAGAUCACCUGCAGGGACUGAAGCAAGUAAAAAGGUGAUGUUGAGCCAGACAUUCUGGUUGGGACUGUGGAGGAGGAGCUGGGGGCUACAGACAUUCUGGUUGGGACUGUGGAGGAGGAGCUGGGGUCUGCAGAGGAGUCGGGCAUGGCAGGAGAGGAGCUGGGGGGCACACUAAAGAGUUCAGAACCAAAGAAAAAGAUCACAGAAAAAUUGCCCUCUCUUGUCAAUUUAAAUGUGCACAGAAGGUAACCACUGAAAGGGAACAAUGGUUCUUGGACUACUACAAAUUGACACAAAACAGGAAACAAGAUUACAUGGCAAUGACAACAGAAUGUGCGAUGAAAGAAAGGCAAACAUGCUCAUUUAAAUUCUACCUGAAUGUUGAGGGUGAGAGGAUUAGAGUGCGCAAGUCAUUUUACCUGGGCACACUGGCAAUUAGUCAGAAGCCAGUUUACAACACACAUUUAAAACAAAAACAAAUGACUGGCAUGCCAAAAACCUGAUUCUAGGACUCUAAGAGGCUCCGACAGACAAAAGAGAUAUUCUCACACUUAAAUCUAUCACUUUCAAUCUGACAGACCUUUAUCGGAGCAUACAUCUGAACAUUGGAUAGGCAGGCAGAAAUAACCAAUCAAUCACAUUCCAGUCACUGGCAGUAACAACACACACAACACAUCCACAUCCUGGUAAUUGUGGUUUUUAAGUACUGAAUGUACUGUGAGGAAUUCUAAUAGAAGCCUUACUUGCCCCUUGUACAGUAUGAUUGCUAGUCACUUGGAAAAUGCUAAAUAUAUUAUAUGUAAGCCGUUUGAGGAAUUAAAGAAAGAACGUGUUUCUAUUAGUGUUAAAAACAUAACUGUGUAAACAAAAACAUAUAAAAAGCACAAAAGCACAACCCAUCGAUGUUGCUUUACAUUGUAGGAAGAAAUCUCCAAUGAAGAAGAAGUAGUUCAGUUUAAAUACCGAUGCAGCAAAAAUAAAUGUACUGGGUAGGAGUACUUCCUUAGUGCGGCCUUUUAGAUAAUACUCCAGAGCCUCAAGAUACCUUCAUUAUAUUUCAUGACAUUAAGCCGCACACAAUAAAAAAAAAAACGGCUUGACUGAAGUGCAACAGGUGCAAGUCUGUUGCAGGCAGCUUAAUUGCUUGUUAACCCUGGUGUUGUCUUCCCUUUUGUGUAAACAACCCUUGUCCCCCGGGUCGAAAAAUUCCCUGCCUUCAGUAAACCCCUAAAAUAAAGCAGCUUACUGUAAUUGAGUUGUGAAUGCCAAAUCUAUUUAGGAUGAAGAAACAACCUGUCACUGAUCACAAAGUGUGUGAAUUUCUGAAUUUUUCCUCUUCACAGUGCAAAAAGACAUUUAUUCAGUGAAGACAGCAGUUGUUUUAUACAAGCUCUGUCAUAAUGCUUUUCUUUACUGAAGUGGAGAUUUAUUAUAAAUAUUAUUAUUUUUUAAGGUGCUGCAUAUGCGGUUAAGAAUAUUUUUGUAUCAAGAGAUAGUACUUGUGGAUCUCUGCAUCCCAAAGACUAGAUUCAGCCUUGCCUCAGGACCUGUGUGUGUGUGUGUGUGUGUGUGUUGUGUGUGUGUGUGUGUGCUAAGAUUAGCAGCCCUAUGUAGACACGCAGGUCAAUCUCAUCCAUCCUUUUGCAGGGGUCAGGUAGAAAGUUCAGGCAAUGUUCUGGGCAUGGGAAACAGCAUAUCAUCCUAAAUCCAAAAGAAAAAAAACAAUGUAUGCUACGUAAUAUUUUUGCUUUGGUCAUACAUUGGGUCUGAAAGUUUAUACAAUAAAGAUAAUCAUAAAAA
Molecule: long non-coding RNA, 1851 nt
Organism: Perca fluviatilis (European perch)
Lineage: Eukaryota; Metazoa; Chordata; Actinopteri; Perciformes; Percidae
Exons: 3
Source: RefSeq, a predicted model, not a curated record